This 873-nucleotide long non-coding RNA is filed under the name Equus caballus (horse). RNAcentral's name for it is "lncRNA (ENSECAG00000060006.1)". Lineage: Eukaryota; Metazoa; Chordata; Mammalia; Perissodactyla; Equidae. The record is from RNAcentral.
GGCUACCAGUUCCUGGGGUGGAACUCAGAGCAGUAUUCCAGCCUCCGCCACCAGUGUCCAUUCCCCACCCCAGGGAGGUGCAGUGGGAUGCGACGUGCCAGGUUCUCCAGUGACAAGCGUGAGGGAAUAACUCGGAACAGCAGCCUGAGCACCUACUUGUCACCUCAACACAUUGCUGGGAAAUUCGGCAGCUCUGCCUGUGGAUGGGCCUCCCCUGAGAUCCCGGCCAGGACUGGAUACCUCACGAGGCAAGGCGGAUGGCGUAGUAUUGAGGUCACACGGAUGGAGUGCUGAUUUCCACCUCGACGGCGGCUCAUGAAAUGUGGACAAGUCACUUAACCUUUUCGUGAGAAUUAAAGCGAUGAUGCAGAUGGAGGGUUUAUAUAGGCCUGGCACACGGAGAAGCAAUAAAUGCCGCUGCUGUUAACUUUUAAGUGUGCUGGCUUCAUCAGGAGACAAGAAUGGCUGUCGAAUUAUAAAGCCCAGAAUAAUGCCAUGGUACCCAGAGGCCAAUGACCUCACAGGGAAGAAGUUUCUUAGAACCACAACACUUUCGGUGCGGUGACUCCUCCUUCAAAGUUACUCAGCAUGUAAUGUUUCCAACAACACUCAAGCAAUGCUUUUCAGGACACCUGGACCGGGUUUAAGUCCUCAUCUGUCUGUGCUGAUUUGACCUGUUGGGACUUAAUUAAUCUCUCAUCAAUUGCGGUCUGAUCUACUCUGCCAAGUCAACUUUUUAAUGAGGCACAUUUCCACAAACAAAUGUUUAAUUUUGACAUCUUCUUUUCAUCCUGGUUUCUCUGUAAAACCAUUUAAGGUUCUGCUGUGUUUUUCCUUUGGCAAAAUAAAUAUUUGUUUUACUGUUGCUAAGAA